GUUUUGGCAAGUUGAGCAACACUGGAUUUGUGUUGUUGGCUUGUUUAGUUUGAAAGGAGUCUUGCGAAAAGUUCUUCGACAAAAUAGGAGUAACAAUAAAUUUCUCCAAAUUGUUCUUCAAAAGCAUUCCCAGAUCUAACAAUCAAUCGGAGACAGAGGACUAUGUCGAGCAGAGAACCCUCAAUUGGAGGGGACUGCAAUCGGCUGUAUACGGCCUUAACUGGGUGCCACCGCCGGUUUGCGCCCGGCAGGGAGAGGGACUUAGCAUGCCGCCAUAUAAACCGGUCGCUGGCAGAGUGUAUGGUGGCCGUUAUAUGUCCGGCCGAAUCGGACGCCGUCCGCAGCCUCUGCUCUAGUGGCGGCACCGCCCUCAAACGCCGACAGUGUCAGGAGGCGCAACUCUCCCUUUCCGUUUGCCUCGCUUCCCAUCAGGACUCUUCCUGAAUUGAAAAGAAGAAUCGCAAUGCCCUUUUGAUUUCUUCUCCUUCUUCUUAGGAUGACAGAACAUCUCCUUUUUCAUUUGAAUUGUCAGCCGGCCACAUGGAGUUCCUCGGUUCAUCUACUAGCCGGAGUGAAUAAUCCUUCUAGAGUUAAUCCUAGAAUCUGUACAGAUGGAAAUAGUUUUGGAUGAUUUUGCAUCCUUGGUGUUAAACAACACGAAACUUGAUUGUGCUGCUGAAAUAGCUAAUGAAGU
Long non-coding RNA from Solanum stenotomum, 694 nucleotides. RefSeq lists it as uncharacterized. Lineage: Eukaryota; Viridiplantae; Streptophyta; Magnoliopsida; Solanales; Solanaceae. The record is from RefSeq and is a predicted model, not a curated record. The transcript has 3 exons.